AUAUACAUGCUUUCAUACAUAUGUGAGUAUGCCUGAAGGAGUGAAUACAUUUUUAUUACUAUUUCAGGCAUACUCACAUAUGUAUGAAAGCAUGUAUAU
This is a non-coding RNA of Xyrichtys novacula (pearly razorfish), 99 nucleotides long. NCBI's taxonomy places the organism in Eukaryota, Metazoa, Chordata, Actinopteri, Labriformes, Labridae. The record is from the annotation of a GenBank genome assembly.